CAUUUUCUGAUGUCCAGAAAUGUGCAAGUGUCAAUUUUGUAUUUUAACUCCUUCCUUUUACCUGACUAUCAGGGAAGCGUGAUUGAGGCUGACCUGACAUGUCAUGAUGUCGACUUGCUAGGUGGGGUUCGCAAGGGACAUUAACCUUGGAGUUAUCGAUGCUGAAGGACAGAGACUGUGAUGAGCACUAUCAGUGUGCAACGUGAACUGAUGGCAGGUAUUCAUAUCUGGUCCUCGUAGUCUGACAUAAAUAUGGAAGCCAUAAGAUGCAGUGUGACUUCUGGCCGUGGAUUCUUCUGUUCUUGAUGAAUAUUUCAGUGUUGAUAGAAACAUUUGUUUUCAUAGCAUGUCCAAGAGCUGUUCUGCAGUGGAGAAGGUAAGUUCAUAGGUGUGGGCAGGGGACGGACAACCAAGGCCUUCAUCUGUUCUCAAGAGUUGUAUGGACAGAUGUUGGGCUGAUCAAACAGCUACUGAAACCAUGAAGAAUCGGGGCAUAUUUUUAUUAGUGGGG
This 511-nucleotide long non-coding RNA is filed under the name Gallus gallus (chicken). Its description in RNAcentral is "long non-coding RNA NONGGAT005115". The record is from RNAcentral. Lineage: Eukaryota; Metazoa; Chordata; Aves; Galliformes; Phasianidae.